GGAUUCCCCUAGUAACGGCGAGUGAAGUGGGAAAAGCUCAACUUUAAAAUCUGGCAGCUUCGCUGUCCGAGUUGUAGUCUCGAGAAGUGUUUUCCGCGCUGGAUCGUGUAUGAGUCUGUUGGAAUACAGCGUCAUAGAGGGUGAGAACCCCGUUCAUGACACGACUACCAGUGCUUUGUGAUACACUUUCGAUGAGUCGAGUUGUUUGGGAAUGCAGCUCAAAAUGGGUGGUAAAUUCCAUCUAAAGCUAAAUAUUGGCGAGAGACCGAUAGCAAACAAGUACCGUGAGGGAAAGAUGAAAAGCACUUUGGAAAGAGAGUUAACAGUACGUGAAAUUGUCGAAAGGGAAACGCUUGAAGUCAGACGUGCGCGGUGCGAUUCAGCCUUGGUUCGCCAGGGUGUACUUCGUACCAUUGCAGGCCAGCAUCGGUUUUGUGAGCCGGAUAAAGGUUAGAGGAAGGUAGCGGUCCAGGCCGUGUUAUAGCCUCUAACUGAAUACGGAUUGUGAGACCGAGGGACGCAGCGCGCCGCAAGGCAAAGGGUCCGCCCUUUUCGCGCUUAGGAUGCUGGUGAAAUGGCUUUAAACGACCCGUCUUG
This 597-nucleotide ribosomal RNA is filed under the name Sporobolomyces sp. I-Y365b. RNAcentral describes it as "eukaryotic LSU rRNA". It matches the Rfam family "Eukaryotic large subunit ribosomal RNA", at positions 72 to 656 of the family's 3401-position model. RNAcentral also lists the same sequence under 1 other name. The record is from RNAcentral. Lineage: Eukaryota; Fungi; Basidiomycota; Microbotryomycetes; Sporidiobolales; Sporidiobolaceae.